RNAcentral lists this ribosomal RNA (478 nucleotides) under uncultured bacterium. RNAcentral describes it as "partial 16S ribosomal RNA". It matches the Rfam family "Bacterial small subunit ribosomal RNA", at positions 28 to 507 of the family's 1533-position model. The record is from RNAcentral.
GAUGAACGCUGGCGGCGUGCUUAACACAUGCAAGUCGAACGAGAAGUGAAGACGGAAACCUUCGGGCGGAAGGCUUUAUUUCGAGUGGCGGACGGGUGAGUAACGCGUGGGUAACCUGCCUCAUACAGGGGGAUAACAGUUGGAAACGACUGUUAAUACCGCAUAAGACCACAGCACCGCAUGGUGCGGGGGUAAAAACUCCGGUGGUAUGAGAUGGACCCGCGUUCGAUUAGCCAGUUGGCGGGGUAACGGCCCACCAAAGCGACGAUCGAUAGCCGAUCUGAGAGGAUGACCGGCCACAUUGGGACUGAGACACGGCCCAAACUCCUACGGGAGGCAGCAGUGGGGAAUAUUGCACAAUGGGGGAAACCCUGAUGCAGCGACACCGCGUGAGUGAAGAAGUAUUUCGGUAUGUAAAGCUCUAUCAGCAGGGAAGAAAAUGACGGUACCUGAGUAAGAAGCCCCGGCUAACUACGUG